Molecule: unclassified non-coding RNA, 384 nt
Filed under: uncultured fungus
Lineage: Eukaryota; Fungi
Description: partial contains 5.8S ribosomal RNA and internal transcribed spacer 2
Rfam family: 5.8S ribosomal RNA (bases 1-133)
Source: RNAcentral
UGGCUCUCGCAUCGAUGAAGAACGCAGCGAAAUGCGAUAAGUAAUGUGAAUUGCAGAAUUCAGUGAAUCAUCGAAUCUUUGAACGCAUCUUGCGCUCUUUGGUAUUCCGAAGAGCAUGCCUGUUUGAGUGUCAUUAAAUUCUCAACCUUAACAUCUUUUACAAAGUUGAUAAGGCUUGGACUUGGGGGUUGUGCAGGCUUUCGAGUCAGCUCCUCUGAAAUGUAUUAGCGGUACUCUAGUGGUACAAUUAGACUAUUAGUGUGAUAACUAUCUACGCUAUUAGUUUGUCCACAAUUUAAAUAGAGUCAUGCUGCUUAUAACCGGUCAUUUAUUUGAACAAUACAUGACAAUCUUGACCUCAAAUCAGGUAGGACUACCCGCUGA